CAGUAGCCACGGUAAUACGUAGGGGGCUAGCGUUGCUCGGAAUGACUGGGCGUAAAGGGCGCGUAGGCGGAUUGUUUAGUUAGGCGUGAAAUUCCUGGGCUUAACCUGGGGACUGCGCUUAAUACAGGCAGUCUAGAGUGAGGAAGAGGGUUGUGGAAUUCCCAGUGUAGAGGUGAAAUUCGUAGAUAUUGGGAAGAACACCGGUGGCGAAGGCGGCAACCUGGUCCUUGACUGACGCUGAGGCGCGAAAGCGUGGGGAGCAAACAGGAUUAGAUACCCCCGUAGUCCCUGUCUCUUAUAC
Molecule: ribosomal RNA, 301 nt
Filed under: uncultured bacterium
Lineage: Bacteria
Description: partial 16S ribosomal RNA
Rfam family: Bacterial small subunit ribosomal RNA
Source: RNAcentral